This 441-nucleotide ribosomal RNA is filed under the name uncultured Bacillota bacterium. RNAcentral describes it as "bacterial SSU rRNA". It matches the Rfam family "Bacterial small subunit ribosomal RNA", at positions 917 to 1359 of the family's 1533-position model. Lineage: Bacteria; Bacillati; Bacillota. The record is from RNAcentral.
GGACCCGCACAAGCAGUGGAGUAUGUGGUUUAAUUCGACGAUACGCGAAAAAUCUUACCAGGUCUUGACAGCCAACUAACGAAGCGGAAACGUAUUAGGUGCCCUUUCGGGGGAAAGUUGGUACAGGUGGCGCAUGGUUGUCGUCAGCUCGUGUCGUGAGAUGUUGGGUUAAGUCCCGCAACGAGCGCAACCCUUGCUGUCAGUUACUACGAAAGAGGACUCUGACAGGACCGCCGUUGACAAAACGGAGGAAGGUGGGGAUGACGUCAAAUCCUCAUGCCCUUUAUGAUCUGGGCUACACACGUACUACAAUGGCCAUUACAAUGGGUUGCCAAACCGCAAGGUGGAGCUAAUCCCUUAAAGAUGGUCUCAGUUCGGAUUGUAGGCUGAAAUUCGCCUGCAUGAAGUUGGAAUUGCUAGUAAUCGCGGAUCAGCAUGCCG